Molecule: non-coding RNA, 434 nt
Organism: Pelobates cultripes (western spadefoot toad)
Lineage: Eukaryota; Metazoa; Chordata; Amphibia; Anura; Pelobatidae
Source: the annotation of a GenBank genome assembly
UUAUAGGGAGUGGGUAUAGGAGCAGUUAGAGGAGGAGUUAUAGGGAGUGGGUAUAGGAGCAUUUAGAGGAGUAGUUAUAGGGAGUGGGUAUAGGAGCAGUUAUAGGAGGAGUUAUAAGGAGUAGGUAUAGGAGCAGUUAGAGGAGGAGUUAUAGGGAGUGGGUAUAGGAGCAGUUAAAGGAGGAGUUAUAGGGAGUGGGUAUAGGAGCAGCUAGAGGAGGAGUUAUAGGGAGUGGGUAUAGGAGCAGUUAGAGGACUUAUAGGGAGUGGGUAUAGGAGCAGUUAAAGGAGGAGUUAUAGGGAGUGGGUAUAGGAGCAGUUAGAGGAGGAGCUAUAGGGAGCGGGUAUAGGAGCAGUUAGAUGAGGAGUUAUAAGGAGUAGGUAAAGGAGCAUUUAGAGGAGGAGUUAUAGGGAGUGGGUAUAGGAGCAGUUAUA